UGAGAUGUAUCUGUAAAAAAGGGGAUAGCAAUGAGGAAAUUCAAUCAUUUCAGAUGGAAAGGAUGAUAAAAGGAUUUUUAGCAGGCGAGACCAGGUAGCGACUUAUUAUAGUGAAAAUUUAGUGAUGUGCUAUAUGAGGUCCAUGUUAUUUUGACAAUUGUGUUGAGUAUCAACGAGCGUGCAAAUUAUCAAAAGGUAGGAAGUGGUGGAGAAUGUUUUGGUUUGCAGCCUUUGGUCUAUCUGGCUC
Lupinus albus (white lupine) is the source of this 247-nucleotide non-coding RNA. The record is from the annotation of a GenBank genome assembly. NCBI's taxonomy places the organism in Eukaryota, Viridiplantae, Streptophyta, Magnoliopsida, Fabales, Fabaceae.